GUCCUUUUGAAUUUUAUUUAAGGUCUGACCUGCCCACUGAUUUAUUUAAUGGCCGCGGUAUUAUGACCGUGCAAAGGUAGCAUAAUAAUUUGUCUUUUAAUUGAAGGCUUGAAUGAAUGGUUGGACGAGAAAAUUACUUUCUUUAUAAUAAAUUAAUAAUUUUAUUUUUUAGUUAAAAAGCUAAAAUUUUAUUGUAGGACGAGAAGACCCUAUAGAACUUUAUAUUUAUUAUUAUAUUAAUAUUUUUGGUUAAUAAUGGAUUAUAUAAUAUUAAUUAUUUUGUUGGGGCGACAAGAAAAUUUAUAUAACUUUUUUAUUUAAUUUCAUUAAUUAAUGUGUAAAUGAUCCUUUAUUAAAGAUAAAUAGAAUAAGUUACCUUAGGGAUAACAGCGUAAUUUUUUUGGAGAGUUCUUAUCAAUAAAAAAGUUUGCGA
This 433-nucleotide ribosomal RNA is filed under the name Graptocorixa abdominalis. RNAcentral's name for it is "partial large subunit ribosomal RNA". It matches the Rfam family "Bacterial large subunit ribosomal RNA", at positions 1819 to 2523 of the family's 2925-position model. Lineage: Eukaryota; Metazoa; Arthropoda; Insecta; Hemiptera; Corixidae. The record is from RNAcentral.